Molecule: ribosomal RNA, 253 nt
Filed under: uncultured bacterium
Lineage: Bacteria
Description: partial 16S ribosomal RNA
Rfam family: Bacterial small subunit ribosomal RNA
Source: RNAcentral
UACGUAGGGUGCAAGCGUUGUCCGGAAUUAUUGGGCGUAAAGAGCUCGUAGGCGGUCUGUCGCGUCUGCUGUGAAAACUCAGGGCUUAACCCUGAGCUUGCAGUGGGUACGGGCAGACUAGAGUGCGGUAGGGGAGACUGGAAUUCCUGGUGUAGCGGUGAAAUGCGCAGAUAUCAGGAGGAACACCGGUGGCGAAGGCGGGUCUCUGGGCCGUAACUGACGCUGAGGCGCGAAAGCCAGGGGAGCAAACGGG